Molecule: ribosomal RNA, 253 nt
Filed under: uncultured bacterium
Lineage: Bacteria
Description: partial 16S ribosomal RNA
Rfam family: Bacterial small subunit ribosomal RNA
Source: RNAcentral
UACGAAGGGGGCUAGCGUUGUUCGGAUUUACUGGGCGUAAAGCGCAUGUAGGCGGGUCGUUAAGUUGGGGGUGAAAUCCCGAGGCUCAACCUCGGAACUGCCUUCAAAACUGGCGACCUGGAGCAAGAUAGAGGCAAGUGGAAUUGCGAGUGUAGAGGUGAAAUUCGUAGAUAUUCGCAGGAACACCAGUGGCGAAGGCGACUUGCUGGAUCUUUGCUGACGCUGAGAUGCGAAAGCGUGGGGAGCAAACAGG